RNAcentral lists this small RNA (3358 nucleotides) under Pongo abelii (Sumatran orangutan). RNAcentral's name for it is "retained intron". Lineage: Eukaryota; Metazoa; Chordata; Mammalia; Primates; Hominidae. The record is from RNAcentral.
AACAACCUUUUUACUAUGCCCAGAGAAGUCAUCUUACAGGUGGUCUGGACUCAUUUCGACCCGGCUCUCAGGCACUGUGUAACCUGCAGAUGUUGGGCUGGAGAAGGUGGAAGCCAUACUAGUGUGUGCAUGUGCUUGGCCCUCACAUGCCUCCUCACUCACACACUGAGGUCUCCACUUGAGUGGUCUUCCUUUCAGCCUGUUCUUUCUCUGUGUCCCCAUUCCAGGGAUGGCCCCCUUUCCCCAUCCACCAGACUAGAAACUUGAGCCUUGUUUUAGUUGCUUCCUUCCCAUUUUCUAGUGAGCCUGUCAAUUACUGAGUCCUCCUCACUCUGCAUGGACAACUCUGUAGUCCAUCCCUUCUGCUUUCUAUGCCUACCUCUGCUGUCCUGCUAGGAACCUCCAUUCUUUCUUGCCUGGAUCCCUUCCCAGCCGCUUCUCUGGUCUCAUGGUUUUCACUUCCUCUGUACAAUCCAACUUUUUCAUAGCAUCCACAGAGAUCCUUGUAAAUAUAACCUUGUCCCUCCUGUACUCAAAACCACAGCUCCUCAAAGACCCCAGGGUAGUGUUGCCAGAUACAAUACAGGAUGCCCAGUUAAAUUUGAAUUUCUGAUAUACAACUGAUUUUUUUUAGUAUAAGCAUGUCCCAAAUACUACAUAUGGUAAAGUUAAAUGUUCAAAUUCCAGCUCCAUUUUCUACUCGUGAUCUUGGGCAAACUUGGGCAAGUGACUUACUUCUCUAUGCCUGUUUCCACAUCUAUAAUGUGGGAAUACAGGCAGUAUUUCUCUCAUAGGUUUGUUUCAAGGACUAAAGGAGGUAAUGUUUGUAACACUCUAAGAAUAAUGCAGGUCUACAGUAAGUAUUCCAUAAACCCCUUGCUAUUGUUAUUAUUAUAAGGCUUUACAUAUUUUAACCCUCUUAAUACAUUAGUCUUCCUAACACCUUAGGAACUUUGUAGAUGCUGUUCACUUUGCUUGGAUUAUCCAUCUUAAGUCUCAAUAGGAUGCCCUCCCUCAGGAAGCCAUGAUCCCUCAAGAUAAGUCAGCCUUCCCACCUCCGACUUGGAUAGCUCUGUGUUCUCUUUAGCAUUUUACACAGCCUGUCAUCAUACAUUUUUUAUUGCCUGUCUUCCCCUCUGGACUGAGUCCUGUGACAGCAGAGCCUGGAGCUGUCUUGGUUGCCACCAUGUGCCCAAUAUUGUACAACAUUUAUCUGAGCACAUCGUAGGUGGUCAACAAAUAGGGAAGGAAGGGAUGACUUAAUCUGAUGUUAUGGAAGUUAGCUUUACCCUGAAAGCACAGUGAGCUACGGGUUUUAAGCAGGGGAGACAAAAUACAAUUUGAGCUCCGAGCAUUCCAGACCUUUGCACUUGCUAUUUCCUCUAUUUACUAUGCCUUCUCUUCUCUAUCUUUGUUUGACUCAGUCCUACUAAUUUCUCAAGGUCUUAUCCUUUGCAGGAUGCUUUCCCUGAGCCCAUCAUAUUUCUUCUGGGAUCCCUGCCUUCUGGCCUUUUUCUAUCACAGCCCCAAUCACUCUGGGCUGUCACUGUCAGGGGACUGUGUGAGUCUCUCUGCCAGGACUGUAAACUCCUUGAAGGGAGUAUUAGAAAUGUUCUAGUCAUCACUGAGGAAAGCUUUGAAAAUGAUUAUUAAAGGAGAGUGGUGGGCUGGCUGUAUACCCACACUUACAGGUAUCUCCCUACACAGAUGUCACCUGUGAGAAUCCCAGAUGUCCUUUCUCCCAGCUCCCAGCACUGCCCUCCCAGCUAGACCUAUGUGAGCAGGUGUUUGGGCUCUCAGCCUUGUCAGUAGCCCAGGCUGUGGCUCAGACGAACUCCUACUACGGUGGCCAGACCCCUGGGGCUAACCAAGUGCUGUUUGUUAAUGGGGACACAGACCCCUGGCAUGUGCUAAGUGUAACACAGGCUUUAGGAUCCUCAGAAUCAACUCUUCUUAUCCGCACUGGCUCCCACUGCUUGGACAUGGCACCUGAGAGGCCCUCAGACUCCCCCAGCCUCCGCCUAGGGCGCCAGAACAUCUUCCAGCAGCUACAGACCUGGCUCAAGCUGGCAAAGGAGAGCCAGAUUAAGGGUGAAGUCUGAAUCUCAUACCCUUUCCACUCCCUGUAUGGUCACCUCAGUCUUGGACAUACUUGUUCACUGAACAAAAGAAAGCAGCUUGUUUUGAAAGAAGAAACUCCCAGGAAUUGGAAUUCAGCACCUGUUCCGCGUGUAACUGGCAUGUGUCUGCAAACAUCUUUAUUCCCAACUUAAAGUGCUUUAUUGCAGAGAGUUAUGGAAAUAUAAGUGGAUGAUUAUUCUCAUUGUAAAUAUUGGUAUUUUGAAUGUUAAAUGUCAAACAAAUGUGACUUAUGCUGGUGCCCUCCCCCUGCUGAUCAGAUUCUGGUUCAAAUUCUGCCACUCCACCUCCUGGGUUAGGGGCUUUGCUGUAAGUUUCUUUUUCUGGACUUUAGAUCCUGAACCUGUCCUUGCUUCUCAGUUUCUCUCACUGUACCCCUUUCCCUCAGUCUCUUCCUCUCUCUUUCCCCUGUCACUAUUUGUCUUUCUAAUCUCCUUCUGUUUCUCUGAAUAUCUUCAUUUCUAUCUCUGUGUUUUUGUCUAUUUCUCUGUUUAUCUUUCUGUUCUUCCAUCUGUGUUUUUGUUUCUCGCUCUCCGUCAGUGUCUUUGUCUCUCCUCUCUCUCUUGCUCUGCCCUGGCUAUUUCCACUGCUCUAUUUCUGACUCUCAUUUUUGGUCUCUGUGUGUCUCCUAGUCACUUUCUCUCUCACUCUAUCUCUGUCUCUAUUUCCCUCUCUCCUCUGCUGUGUCCUCAAUCUCUCUGUCUCCCUGAGGCUCUGUUUCUGUCUCUGAUGCUCUUCUUCUGUGUCUCUAUUUCUCUUCCUGUCACUUAAUCUUUUCCUUCUCUAUCUCUCUCAUUUAGUCUUCCUUCCACACCACUCACUCACCAUCUCUUCCCACAAUCAAAUAUCACUCCCUGGUACUUCCAGCUUCCAACCCUAGGGAUUCAUGAUUCUGGUGGAGACUCCUUCUUCCAGGGCCUGGGAGGAUAGGGCUAAUCCCAAGGGUGCCUGCUUAGGCUAUGUUAGCUGUGACAAGAACCUGCCAUAGAUUUGCACUGUUCUUUCCUAAAGAUCAAUUGUUUUCAGCAAUAAAUACUUCUCAGCUUUUUGUACAUCUUUGUAUGCACAGAGAUGGUAGUUUUAGAGUUUUAUCCAGUUUCAUAUUUGCUUGUUGGUAAGAGGAAACCUCCUCAUGCUGUCAUACCAGAGUCGAUCUCCACUAUACAUUAGUUCUGCCUGUUCUUGAUCUUUAUAUAAAUGGAAACAUGCAGUAUAUACU